Molecule: ribosomal RNA, 120 nt
Filed under: Triticum aestivum (bread wheat)
Lineage: Eukaryota; Viridiplantae; Streptophyta; Magnoliopsida; Poales; Poaceae
Source: RNAcentral
GGAUGCGAUCAUACCAGCACUAAAGCACCGGAUCCCAUCAGAACUCCGUAGUUAAGCGUGCUUGGGCGAGAGUAGUACUAGGAUGGGUGACCUCCUGGGAAGUCCUCGUGUUGCAUUCCC